Molecule: non-coding RNA, 286 nt
Organism: Paramuricea clavata
Lineage: Eukaryota; Metazoa; Cnidaria; Anthozoa; Malacalcyonacea; Plexauridae
Source: the annotation of a GenBank genome assembly
GUUGCAAGUUCACAUAAACAACAGUUUUAAAAAUAGCUCGGUCAAGGGCUCAAUCUCUCCCCUCCGCAGAGCCUCCUUAAGUAUUUACAAAUAACUUACAUGAAGUUUCCUGAACAAAAGUGAGCGCGCGCGGUGUGAUGGGAAGAUUCCUUUCGCGCUCACUUUUCCCUCACUAGAAACUUCAUGUAAGCCUCUGCGGAGGAGAGAGAGAGGGCUCAAUAUAAAUAUAAAGGUCAAACGCACGUAACAAAUCCAUAAUUAUCCAUUAUCGAUUUCUUCGAAUUUC